CACGUAGGGCGCAAGCGUUGUCCGGAAUUAUUGGGCGUAAAGAGCUCGUAGGUGGUUUGUUACGUCUGCUGUGAAAACCUAGGGCUUAACCCUGGGCUUGCAGUGGAUACGGGCAGACUAGAGGUAGGUAGGGGAGAAUGGAAUUCCUGGUGUAGCGGUGAAAUGCGCAGAUAUCAGGAGGAACACCUAUGGCGAAGGCAGCUCUCUGGGACGGUACUGACGCUGAGACGCGAAAGCGUGGGGAGCGAACAGG
This 253-nucleotide ribosomal RNA is filed under the name uncultured bacterium. RNAcentral's name for it is "partial 16S ribosomal RNA". It matches the Rfam family "Bacterial small subunit ribosomal RNA", at positions 524 to 776 of the family's 1533-position model. The record is from RNAcentral.